UAUUGCGCAAUGGGGGAAACCCUGACGCAGCAAUGCCGCGUGGGUGAAGAAGGCCUUCGGGUUGUAAAGCUCUUUUGUCAGGCAAGCAACACCGGCUCUAACACAGUCCGGGAAUGACGGUACCUGAAGAAUAAGCACCGGCUAACUACGUGCCAGCAGCCGCGGUAAUACGUAGGGUGCAAGCGUUAAUCGGAAUUACUGGGCGUAAAGCGUGCGCAGGCGGUUAUACAAGACAGGCGUGAAAUCCCCGGGCUUAACCUGGGAAUGGCGCCUGUGACUGUAUAGCUAGAGUGUGUCAGAGGGGGGUAGAAUUCCACGUGUAGCAGUGAAAUGGGUAGAUAUGUGGAGGAAUACCAAUGGCGAAGGCAGCCCCCUGGGAUAACACUGACGCUCAUGCACGAAA
Molecule: ribosomal RNA, 403 nt
Filed under: uncultured bacterium
Lineage: Bacteria
Description: bacterial SSU rRNA
Rfam family: Bacterial small subunit ribosomal RNA
Source: RNAcentral